Smittium culicis is the source of this 73-nucleotide transfer RNA. It matches the Rfam family "tRNA". Rfam says of the family: Transfer RNA (tRNA) molecules are approximately 80 nucleotides in length. Their secondary structure includes four short double-helical elements and three loops (D, anti-codon, and T loops). NCBI's taxonomy places the organism in Eukaryota, Fungi, Kickxellomycota, Harpellomycetes, Harpellales, Legeriomycetaceae. The record is from Rfam.
GGCCUCGUAGCUCAGUGGAAAGAGUGUCCGCCUCCGGAGCGGAAGGUCCUGGGUUCGACCCCCAGCUAGGUCG